Molecule: long non-coding RNA, 463 nt
Organism: Betta splendens (Siamese fighting fish)
Lineage: Eukaryota; Metazoa; Chordata; Actinopteri; Anabantiformes; Osphronemidae
Exons: 2
Source: RefSeq, a predicted model, not a curated record
GGCACAAAGCACAGCAACCUUUUUGUGUGUUUGUACUUUCUGUUCUGGGUUCUAUCAUGUUAAUGUCCAACCAGUUUGUUCUGUAAAGCCCUGUCGUGUGCUGCUGGCGUGAAAAACUCGUAGCUCCACAUGUCAGGCUCAGUUUAUUAUGGUAACGACCUCACCUUUUGGAAAUGCGAGGUUUUCACUGGACAAAGUGGCGUUUGUUCCUGUGUUUUGUUGUACAUGUUUUUGCACGUUUACUGAGACUUUCUCAUUUAGGACGGAGCCUGUUCAGUUCUCCAGGAUGAGACAAUCGAUCUCUCCUGGAUGUGUACAGUCAUUUAUUUACAGUGACACACUGGGCAAUGUGUGGGCAGCACGUUCCUGCUGCUCAGCCAACGACAAAUCGAAGAGGAUGCCUGUGGAUUUGUUAUAUAAAAGCUAACUUGUCUGAUGGACGGACUGAACCUGGAACCCUGCU